UACGGAGGAUCCGAGCGUUAUCCGGAUUUAUUGGGUUUAAAGGGUGCGCAGGCGGGAGAUUAAGUCGGCGGUGAAAUUUUGCAGCUCAACUGUAAAAGUGCCUUCGAAACUGGUUUCCUUGAGUGUGGAUGAAGUAGGCGGAAUUUGUGGUGUAGCGGUGAAAUGCAUAGAUAUCACGAGGAACUCCGAUUGCGCAGGCAGCUUACUAAACCAUAACUGACGCUCAGGCACGAAGGCGUGGGGAUCAAACAGGAUUAGAUACUCGU
Molecule: ribosomal RNA, 266 nt
Filed under: uncultured prokaryote
Description: partial 16S ribosomal RNA
Rfam family: Bacterial small subunit ribosomal RNA
Source: RNAcentral